This 63-nucleotide transfer RNA is filed under the name Cucujoidea sp. 6 KM-2017. RNAcentral's name for it is "tRNA-Gly". Lineage: Eukaryota; Metazoa; Arthropoda; Insecta; Coleoptera. The record is from RNAcentral.
AUUUAUAUAGUAUAAAAAUUACAUUUAACUUCCAAUUAAAAAAUCUAUUAUUUAGUAUAAAUA